GGGUAAUAUGUGUAUGCAUAUAAAUACGACAAUGGAAAAAUGAAGAUAAUACAAUCUUAUUUAACCAAUCUAAUCAAACAAACAACUAAUUUAAAACAACAAAGUUUACAAGCGUGGGUAAACCACGAUUGAUAUACUAAUACAUAAGGAGGUGAACUAAUGAUGUGCAACGAAUAUACACGAAAUAAUAUGAAACAAUU
RNAcentral lists this long non-coding RNA (200 nucleotides) under Gossypium barbadense (sea-island cotton). Its description in RNAcentral is "long non-coding RNA (GBAR_LNC002968)". The record is from RNAcentral. Lineage: Eukaryota; Viridiplantae; Streptophyta; Magnoliopsida; Malvales; Malvaceae.